ACGGGGUGCACAGGCGCGAAACCUUUGCAAUGUGCGCAAGCACGACAAGGUUAAUCCGAGUGUUACCUGCUAAAGGAAUCUUUUGUUAGUCGUAAAACCACUGAUGAAUAAGGGGUGGGCAAGUUCUGGUGUCAGCCGCCGCGGUAAAACCAGCACCUCAAGUGGUCAGGAGGAUUAUUGGGCCUAAAGCAUCCGUAGCCGGCUCUGCAAGUUUUCGGUUAAAUCCAUUUGCUUAACUAAUGGGCUGCCGAAAAUACUACAUAGCUAGGGAGUGGGAGAGGUAGACGGUAUUCGGUAGGAAGGGGUAAAAUCCUUUGAUCUAUUGAGGACCACCUAUGGCGAAGGCAGUCUACCAGAACACGUUCGACGGUGAGGGAUGAAAGCUGGGGGAGCAAACCGGAUUAGAUACCCGGGUAGUCCCAGCUGUAAACGAUGCAGACUCGGUGAUGCGCUGGCUUGUGGCCAGUGCAGUGCCGCAGGGAAGCCGUUAAGUUUGCCGCCUGGGAAGUACGUACGCAAGUAUGAAACUUAAAGGAAUUGGUGGGGGAGCAC
This 552-nucleotide ribosomal RNA is filed under the name uncultured Nitrososphaerota archaeon. RNAcentral describes it as "bacterial SSU rRNA". It matches the Rfam family "Archaeal small subunit ribosomal RNA", at positions 325 to 879 of the family's 1478-position model. Lineage: Archaea; Thermoproteati; Nitrososphaerota. The record is from RNAcentral.